RNAcentral lists this ribosomal RNA (253 nucleotides) under uncultured bacterium. RNAcentral's name for it is "partial 16S ribosomal RNA". It matches the Rfam family "Bacterial small subunit ribosomal RNA", at positions 524 to 776 of the family's 1533-position model. The record is from RNAcentral.
UACGAAGGGGGCUAGCGUUGCUCGGAAUCACUGGGCGUAAAGCGCACGUAGGCGGAUCUUUAAGUCAGGGGUGAAAUCCCAAGGCUCAACCUUGGAACUGCCUUUGAUACUGGGGAUCUCGAGUCCGGAAGAGGUUGGUGGAGCUGCGAGUGUAGAGGUGAAAUUCGUAGAUAUUCGCAAGAACACCAGUGGCGAAGGCGGCCACCUGGUCCGGCACUGACGCUGAGGUGCGAAAGCGUGGGGAGCAAACAGG